UGACAAGGAGGAUUGCGACCUCGAUGUUGGAUUGGGGUCACCAUAGGGUGCAGCAGCUCUUUGAGGUUGGACUGUUCGUCCAUUAUCACCCUACAUGAUCUGAGUUCAGACCGACGUGAGUCAGGUCAGCUUCUAUCUUCUU
RNAcentral lists this ribosomal RNA (142 nucleotides) under Holothuria edulis. RNAcentral describes it as "partial 16S ribosomal RNA". It matches the Rfam family "Bacterial large subunit ribosomal RNA", at positions 2506 to 2646 of the family's 2925-position model. Lineage: Eukaryota; Metazoa; Echinodermata; Holothuroidea; Aspidochirotida; Holothuriidae. The record is from RNAcentral.